This 251-nucleotide ribosomal RNA is filed under the name uncultured bacterium. Its description in RNAcentral is "partial 16S ribosomal RNA". It matches the Rfam family "Bacterial small subunit ribosomal RNA", at positions 28 to 273 of the family's 1533-position model. The record is from RNAcentral.
GACGAACGCUGGCGGCGUGCUUAACACAUGCAAGUCGAGCGGUAAGGCCCUUUCGGGGUACGACGAGCGGCGAACGGGUAGAGUAACACGUGGGUGGACCUCGCCCUCCAGCUCUGGGAGUAAGCCUGGGAAACCGGGGUACUAAUACUGGAUAUGACUCCAUGACGCAUGUUGUGGGGUGGAAAGACCUUGUGCGGCUGAGGAUGGGCCCGCGGCCUAUCAGCUUGUUGGUGGGGUGAGGCCUACCAAGG